Molecule: non-coding RNA, 81 nt
Filed under: Kryptoperidinium triquetrum
Lineage: Eukaryota; Dinophyceae; Peridiniales; Kryptoperidiniaceae
Source: RNAcentral
UCCGGACGUCAGCGGCUCCUGUUCGCUGUACGAGACGCGGGCGCGAACCGGGCAAAGGGUGGAAAGGAAGCAGGGAGGACA